RNAcentral lists this ribosomal RNA (253 nucleotides) under uncultured bacterium. Its description in RNAcentral is "partial 16S ribosomal RNA". It matches the Rfam family "Bacterial small subunit ribosomal RNA", at positions 524 to 776 of the family's 1533-position model. The record is from RNAcentral.
UACGUAGGGUCCGAGCGUUGUCCGGAAUUAUUGGGCAUAAAGGGCUCGUAGGCGGUUUGUCGCGUCGGGAGUGAAAACACCGGGCUUAACUCGGUGCUUGCUUUCGAUACGGGCAGACUGGAGGUAUGCAGGGGAGAACGGAAUUCCUGGUGUAGCGGUGAAAUGCGCAGAUAUCAGGAGGAACACCGGUGGCGAAGGCGGUUCUCUGGGCAUUACCUGACGCUGAGGAGCGAAAGUGUGGGGAGCGAACAGG